AUAGCCCUCUUAGGCAACAACAUGGCCCUGUAGGAAGCACAUAACCUUCUUAGGCGUCAAUAUAGCCCUAUAGACAACUCAUAGCCCUUCUAGGCAUCAAUAUAGCCCCGUAGGCAACUCAUAGCCCUUUUAGGCAUCCAUAUAGCCCUGUAGGCAGAACAUAACCCUGCUAGGCAUAGAUCACAUUCCUGCAGCUAACCACAAUAGCCC
Molecule: long non-coding RNA, 210 nt
Filed under: Solanum tuberosum (potato)
Lineage: Eukaryota; Viridiplantae; Streptophyta; Magnoliopsida; Solanales; Solanaceae
Description: long non-coding RNA (STUB_LNC007929)
Source: RNAcentral